GAGGGAUUAGCGCACAACCGCACGCUGCAGUCCCAACCCCUCGCAAUCCCAAACCUAGCCGCCUCUUCCCUCUCAUCUAACUCACCUCACGGCAGUUCAUGAUGCAGUGAUGCCUCCCCGCUGGUGACCAGUGGCCUCAGGUUACAAGAUGGACGUUCUGGAGGCGCCAAGGGGUCCCUGGCGUAGUAACUUGUACGAUCCCUUACUGCAAUGGUGGCGGCGUGCCGGAUCUCUAGGGCGUAUCGUUGAAUGUCGAUGUGGCCUAUCAUGCGAUGGUGCAAACAGCUAUGGAGACGACGUGGACAUGAAGUGAUUCAUGAUUGAGUUCUUUUCCCGUUACUGCAGGCAAGGGUGAACCAGACAAGAAGUCCAGACCAUUCGUUCUUGGUUCCUUGCGAUGUGAGAUCUGUCAACAAGGAGUGUGUUCCGAUCAUUAAUGUAAUAUUAUCCUUCGGAUGUGGUGAUGCAGAACCACAUGAGGUACAGCUGACAGAUUAAUGCAGUCUAGAAUUUAGGAGAUACAAUCCCGUCGCUAAUCAUGGUCGUUCAGAGUCUCUUCAGGAAUUAGGCAAAGGGACGGUAAAAGGCUUUGUGGCCGUACAAAGAUGUAUGUUCACCUGAAAUACUACACUGAAAAAAGGUUGGAUUUUUUUAGCGAGACCCCAUAUAUAUAUGCUUUUACAUGCAUGAUCAGUUAAUGAAAAAUUAUUGGCCGAUCUUCUGUAGAUUCAUUCAUUCAGAUCUCAUCGAGUUUAUUUCUUAUCCGCAUUUCAGCAUGUAUUUCCAUUUGUGUGGUAGCCGCUAUGGCUUGUGUGUUUGAUGACCUAUUUUAACUGAAAAUGAUAGCAAAAGUUUAUUGCAUACUGACAUAGCUUUGGCAUCCAUCCAACGUGAGUGUACGUACGUACAAAUUUGUAAGGAAGAAUUCAGUAUAAUUUACUAACCUUCACAAUUUUCUGCUACUUUUUUUUACUGAAAUCGAUACUUUGUACUUGCAGGUGCCAUGCAAGAUCCCAUCAUCAGUAGGACUUGUUAAAUUCGGAUAGCAGCGCCGAGUGUGCUACGCAAAAUUUUAGAAAGAAUAUAUAGGACUUGAUACAAUAUCAUAUAUAUGUUGAUGAAAGAUUGUAAAUUUUCUACUUUUCAGGCCAUUUUCAUGUAUCAGAUUGUGGUUACAUGCAAUAAUAAAUAUUGAAUUCCUUGUC
Non-coding RNA from Lolium perenne, 1205 nucleotides. NCBI's taxonomy places the organism in Eukaryota, Viridiplantae, Streptophyta, Magnoliopsida, Poales, Poaceae. The record is from RefSeq and is a predicted model, not a curated record.